This 893-nucleotide small RNA is filed under the name Nigrograna mackinnonii. Its description in RNAcentral is "eukaryotic LSU rRNA". It matches the Rfam family "Eukaryotic large subunit ribosomal RNA", at positions 50 to 961 of the family's 3401-position model. Lineage: Eukaryota; Fungi; Ascomycota; Dothideomycetes; Pleosporales; Nigrogranaceae. The record is from RNAcentral.
GCGGAGGAAAAGAAACCAACAGGGAUUGCCCUAGUAACGGCGAGUGAAGCGGCAACAGCUCAAAUUUGAAAUCUGGCCCUUUCAGGGUCCGAGUUGUAAUUUGUAGAGGGCGCUUUGGUGUUGGCUGCGGUCUAAGUUCCUUGGAACAGGACGUCACAGAGGGUGAGAAUCCCGUACGUGGUCGACAGUCUUCACCGUGUAAAGCCCCUUCGACGAGUCGAGUUGUUUGGGAAUGCAGCUCUAAAUGGGAGGUAAAUUUCUUCUAAAGCUAAAUAUUGGCCAGAGACCGAUAGCGCACAAGUAGAGUGAUCGAAAGAUGAAAAGCACUUUGGAAAGAGAGUCAAAAAGCACGUGAAAUUGUUGAAAGGGAAGCGCUUGCAAUCAGACUUGCCUGUAGUUGCUCAUCUGGACUCUUGUCCGGUGCACUCUUCUGCGGGCAGGCCAGCAUCAGUUCAGGCGGCUGGAUAAAGGCCUCUAUCACGUAUCUUCCUUCGGGAUGACCUUAUAGGGGAGGUGUAAUGCAGCCAGCCUGGAUUGAGGUCCGCGCAUCUGCUAGGAUGCUGGCGUAAUGAUUGUAAGCGGCCCGUCUUGAAACACGGACCAAGGAGUCUAACAUCUAUGCGAGUGUUUGGGUGUCAAGCCCGGACGCGCAAUGAAAGUGAACGGAGGUGGGAACCCUCACGGGUGCACCAUCGACCGAUCCUGAUGUCUUCGGAUGGAUUUGAGUAAGAGCAUAGCUGUUGGGACCCGAAAGAUGGUGAACUAUGCCUGAAUAGGGUGAAGCCAGAGGAAACUCUGGUGGAGGCUCGCAGCGGUUCUGACGUGCAAAUCGAUCGUCAAAUUUGGGCAUAGGGGCGAAAGACUAAUCGAACUAUCUAGUAGCUGGUUCCUGC